This 468-nucleotide ribosomal RNA is filed under the name uncultured bacterium. Its description in RNAcentral is "partial 16S ribosomal RNA". It matches the Rfam family "Bacterial small subunit ribosomal RNA", at positions 28 to 507 of the family's 1533-position model. The record is from RNAcentral.
GACGAACGCUGGCGGCGUGCUUAACACAUGCAAGUCGAACGGAAAGGCCCUGCUUUUGUGGGGUGCUCGAGUGGCGAACGGGUGAGUAACACGUGAGUAACCUGCCCUUGACUUUGGGAUAACUUCAGGAAACUGGGGCUAAUACCGGAUAGGAGCUCCUGCUGCAUGGUGGGGGUUGGAAAGUUUCGGCGGUUGGGGAUGGACUCGCGGCUUAUCAGCUUGUUGGUGGGGUAGUGGCUUACCAAGGCUUUGACGGGUAGCCGGCCUGAGAGGGUGACCGGCGACAUUGGGACUGAGAUACGGCCCAGACUCCUACGGGAGGCAGCAGUGGGGAAUAUUGCACAAUGAGCGGAAGCCUGAUGCAGCAACGCCGCGUGCGGGAUGACGGCCUUCGGGUUGUAAACCGCUUUCGCCUGUGACGAAGCGUGAGUGACGGUAAUGGGUAAAGAAGCACCGGCUAACUACGUG